CCUACGGGUGGCAGCAGUAGGGAAUCUUUCACAAUGGGCGAAAGCCUGAUGGAGCAACGCCGCGUGCAGGAUGAAGGCCUUCGGGUUGUAAACUGCUUUUAUAAGCGAGAAAUAUGAUGGUAACUUAUGAAUAAGGAUCGGCUAACUACGUGCCAGCAGCCGCGGUCAUACGUAGGAUCCGAGCAUUAUCCGGAGUGACUGGGUGUAGAGAGUUGCGUAGGUGGCAGAAUAAGUAGCUAGUGAAAUCUGGUGGCUCAACCAUUCAGACUAUUAGCUAAACUGUUAAGCUCGAGACCGUGAGGGGUAACUGGAAUUUCUAGUGUAGGAGUGAAAUCCGUAGAUAUUAGAAGGAACACCAGUAGCGUAGGCAGGUUGCUGGGACGGUUCUGACACUAAGGCACGAAAGCGUAGGGAGCAAACGGGAUUAGAUACCCUGGUAGUC
RNAcentral lists this ribosomal RNA (442 nucleotides) under uncultured bacterium. Its description in RNAcentral is "partial 16S ribosomal RNA". It matches the Rfam family "Bacterial small subunit ribosomal RNA", at positions 338 to 795 of the family's 1533-position model. The record is from RNAcentral.